UACAGAGGGUGCGAGCGUUACUCGGAAUUACUGGGCGUAAAGCGUGCGUAGACGGUUAUUUAAGUCGGGUGUGAAAGCCCCGGGCUCAACCUGGGAAUUGCAUUCGAGACUGAAUAGCUAGGGUACGGUAGAGGGAAGUGGAAUUUCCGGUGUAGCGGUGAAAUGCGCAGAUAUCAGGGGGAACACCGGUGGCGAAGGCGGUUCUCUGGGCAUUACCUGACGCUGAGGAGCGAAAGUGUGGGGAGCGAACAGG
Molecule: ribosomal RNA, 253 nt
Filed under: uncultured bacterium
Lineage: Bacteria
Description: partial 16S ribosomal RNA
Rfam family: Bacterial small subunit ribosomal RNA
Source: RNAcentral